GACGAACGCUGGCGGCGUGCUUAACACAUGCAAGUCGAACGGAAAGGCCCUGCUUUUGUGGGGUGCUCGAGUGGCGAACGGGUGAGUAACACGUGAGUAACCUGCCCUUGACUUUGGGAUAACUUCAGGAAACUGGGGCUACUACCGGAUAGGAGCUCCUGCUGCAUGGUGGGCGUUGGAAAGUUUCGGCGGUCGGGGAUGGACUCGCGGCUUAUCAGCUUGUUGGUGGGGUAGUGGCUUACCAAGGCUUUGACGGGUAGCCGGCCUGAGAGGGUGACCGGCCACAUUGGGACUGAGAUACGGCCCAGACUCCUACGGGAGGCAGCAGUGGGGAAUAUUGCACAAUGGGCGGAAGCCUGAUGCAGCAACGCCGCGUGCGGGAUGACGGCCUUCGGGUUGUAAACCGCUUUCGCCUGUGACGAAGCGUGAGUGACGGUAAUGGGUAAAGAAGCACCGGCUAACUACGUG
RNAcentral lists this ribosomal RNA (468 nucleotides) under uncultured bacterium. Its description in RNAcentral is "partial 16S ribosomal RNA". It matches the Rfam family "Bacterial small subunit ribosomal RNA", at positions 28 to 507 of the family's 1533-position model. The record is from RNAcentral.